This is a long non-coding RNA of Oncorhynchus kisutch (coho salmon), 928 nucleotides long. RefSeq lists it as uncharacterized. NCBI's taxonomy places the organism in Eukaryota, Metazoa, Chordata, Actinopteri, Salmoniformes, Salmonidae. The record is from RefSeq and is a predicted model, not a curated record. The transcript has 2 exons.
UACACUUGGUACCACUACUUUUGGACAGUGGGUUAAUGUCCAAAAACUGUUAUUAGACUGUUAUUGUUGAAUUGCUAUGUGUAGCCUGGGUAGACCUACCAGUUUUAGCUAGCAUUCCACGGAGUUACAAGGAGUGGAAUGUUAGCUAAAAAGACUGUUACCCAAGACUAGUGUAAGAGCACAAGGCUAUAUCUCACUUUCAAGAAAGAAUUCUGAACACACAUCAUUUUCAAUAGCUGCCUUUGAAGUUUUAUAGGCAAUUUCUUUGGACAUUGUAGUUAUGAUCUUUGGCCUUUUUCAGAUGUUUCAUGUAAUAAUUAAUUGUAGCCCACAACUGAAGAAUCCCAUUUCAUGGAACUUCUGGACUUUAUUGAAUAAAGUAAAACAGUUAUUUUAGGCCUACAUAUUGUUGUUUAAAAGAAACCCUUCUUCUCCACCAAAUGUCUACCCCUGGCCCUUGCAGCUUCUCUUUGAUAUUGUUCAACUGACACACACACACACACGCACCACCCUGGGCAGAACAUGUUUCUCUCACAACUUUGACAUGGGGCUGUCUUUUAUCCUCCAUGUUUCCCAGCGUCUCUGUGCUCCUCCAGAUCCCCCGGGUUCCGCUGCUACCCACCCCAGCCAAAUGACACCCCGCUGGGGCUACAGCAGAGGUCUCUCCCCGAAUAGACGGCUCUACAUCCACAGAGGUGUUCAUGGAAUGCAUAGGUCUAAUUGGGGUCCUGAGAGGCACAGCGGUCAAAGGCACUGCAUCUCAGUGCUUGAUGCGUCACUACAGCCACCCAGGUUCGAUUACAGGCUGUAUCACAUCUGGCCGUGAUCGGGAGUCCUAUAGCAUCGUCCGGGGUAGACCUUCAUUGUGAAUAGGAAUUUGUUCUUAACUGACUUGCCUAGCUAAAUAAAGGUAAAAAAAUGCAUCAGG